CAUGCAGUCGAGCGGAACGAUACCAGCUUGCUGGUAGGCGUCGAGCGGCGGACGGGUGAGUAAUACUUAGGAAUCUACCUAGUAGUGGGGGAUAGCUCGGGGAAACUCGAAUUAAUACCGCAUACGACCUACGGGAGAAAGGGGGCAGUUUACUGCUCUCGCUAUUAGAUGAGCCUAAGUCGGAUUAGCUAGAUGGUGGGGUAAAGGCCUACCAUGGCGACGAUCUGUAGCUGGUCUGAGAGGAUGAUCAGCCACACCGGGACUGAGACACGGCCCGGACUCCUACGGGAGGCAGCAGUGGGGAAUAUUGGACAAUGGGGGAAACCCUGUUCCAGCCAUGCCGCGUGUGUGAAGAAGGCCUUUUGGUUGUAAAGCACUUUAAGCAGUGAAGAAGACUCCUCGGUUAAUACCCGUGGACGAUGACAUUAGCUGCAGAAUAAGCACCGGCUAACUCUGUGCCAGCAGCCGCGGUAAUACAGAGGGUGCAAGCGUUAAUCGGAAUUACUGGGCGUAAAGCGAGCGUAGGUGGCUUGAUAAGUCA
This 541-nucleotide ribosomal RNA is filed under the name bacterium het-d-10. RNAcentral describes it as "bacterial SSU rRNA". It matches the Rfam family "Bacterial small subunit ribosomal RNA", at positions 54 to 590 of the family's 1533-position model. The record is from RNAcentral.